GUGUUCGACCGCUGCGGAAAAUCAGUUUCCUUUCAGUGCUUGAUCUUGCAAUUUCGCGGCUUAAGUAGUGAUUUCAGGUGCAUUGUGUGUGUGGUGUGUCCAAGAUAAUUGACUUUGUAAAUUCUUAGUUGUCUGGUAAAUGAUGUAGUUUCUUGGAAACAUAAUGUGCCGUCUGUGUAAGCUUAUAUUCACGUGUCAAGAAUUGUAGGUUAUAUGCUUGUGCUUCGAACUUGUUUCUCGAAUUUAAUAAGUACGAAUCCCUUUGAAAUAAAGGUUGAUAAAAAAAAUACACUGGGAUCGCGGCGCCACUCGGAGCCAAUUAGACAGGACAAUUAAAGUAUUGUGCCGUUAAACAGCGUUCCUGACUACGGGAGAGAAUGGCCUAAUCCUGAAUUCCAAAUGCUUCAAGGCAUCAGCAGGAUGUUGCGGGAUGCUGUAUCGAGCAGGAGAGUUAAUUCUACUGGGAUGUGACGGAAAUUUCUUGAACGUAGUAUUACAGAUUAAUUCUCGCAGAUAAUCUUUUCUGUGCCCGCUUAAACUUUCCGACGCUUACUCAACCUACAACCAAUGUCGCUAACGUCGCAAAGUACAUUGUGAGAUAUUUCCCGGACGCACGGGAUGUUGACACUUGGCCUAUACGUCUUUUGUAAAGCUUUUAAGUAUUAUUUUUAUCUAUUAUACAAAUAUUUUGUAAGAUCGUUCAAAAUCGACGAGCGACACUUACAUAAUCAGAUCAGCUAAAAGAUAAAGCCUCAUGUGUUAAUGGAAUGCAACAUUAAAUGUAAGUCAACAGUAAUUACAAUAAUUUUCACAAUAAUACGGAGAACAUUCUAAGAACAAGAAGUAUCACGGAAAUGGCGCUGGCGAAAUACUAAGUCCAAUAUACAAAAAAGACUAUGGGAAUAAGAACGAGGUAGUCAGUUACAGAUGAAAAUACAUGUAUGUGAAAAUAUAUAUAUAUAUAUUAUCAGUCGAUUUUAUAAAAUUGUAAAAGUCAAUACGCACAAUAUGUUGUACAAACGAAAUUCCGCUAUUUCUGAAUAAAA
Long non-coding RNA from Cephus cinctus (wheat stem sawfly), 1046 nucleotides. RefSeq lists it as uncharacterized. The transcript has 3 exons. Lineage: Eukaryota; Metazoa; Arthropoda; Insecta; Hymenoptera; Cephidae. The record is from RefSeq and is a predicted model, not a curated record.